AGCGUACACGGUGGAUGCCCUGGCAGUCAGAGGCGAUGAAGGACGUGCUAAUCUGCGAUAAGCGUCGGUAAGGUGAUAUGAACCGUUAUAACCGGCGAUUUCCGAAUGGGGAAACCCAGUGUGUUUCGACACACUAUCAUUAACUGAAUCCAUAGGUUAAUGAGGCGAACCGGGGGAACUGAAACAUCUAAGUACCCCGAGGAAAAGAAAUCAACCGAGAUUCCCCCAGUAGCGGCGAGCGAACGGGGAGCAGCCCAGAGCCUGAAUCAGUGUGUGUGUUAGUGGAAGCGUCUGGAAAGGCGCGCGAUACAGGGUGACAGCCCCGUACACAAAAAUGCACAUAUUGUGAGCUCGAUGAGUAGGGCGGGACACGUGGUAUCCUGUCUGAAUAUGGGGGGACCAUCCUCCAAGGCUAAAUACUCCUGACUGACCGAUAGUGAACCAGUACCGUGAGGGAAAGGCGAAAAGAACCCCGGCGAGGGGAGUGAAAAAGAACCUGAAACCGUGUACGUACAAGCAGUGGGAGCACGCUUAGGCGUGUGACUGCGUACCUUUUGUAUAAUGGGUCAGCGACUUAUAUUCUGUAGCAAGGUUAACCGAAUAGGGGAGCCGAAGGGAAACCGAGUCUUAACUGGGCGUUAAGUUGCAGGGUAUAGACCCGAAACCCGGUGAUCUAGCCAUGGGCAGGUUGAAGGUUGGGUAACACUAACUGGAGGACCGAACCGACUAAUGUUGAAAAAUUAGCGGAUGACUUGUGGCUGGGGGUGAAAGGCCAAUCAAACCGGGAGAUAGCUGGUUCUCCCCGAAAGCUAUUUAGGUAGCGCCUCGUGAAUUCAUCUCCGGGGGUAGAGCACUGUUUCGGCAAGGGGGUCAUCCCGACUUACCAACCCGAUGCAAACUGCGAAUACCGGAGAAUGUUAUCACGGGAGACACACGGCGGGUGCUAACGUCCGUCGUGAAGAGGGAAACAACCCAGACCGCCAGCUAAGGUCCCAAAGUCAUGGUUAAGUGGGAAACGAUGUGGGAAGGCCCAGACAGCCAGGAUGUUGGCUUAGAAGCAGCCAUCAUUUAAAGAAAGCGUAAUAGCUCACUGGUCGAGUCGGCCUGCGCGGAAGAUGUAACGGGGCUAAACCAUGCACCGAAGCUGCGGCAGCGACGCUUAUGCGUUGUUGGGUAGGGGAGCGUUCUGUAAGCCUGUGAAGGUGUGCUGUGAGGCAUGCUGGAGGUAUCAGAAGUGCGAAUGCUGACAUAAGUAACGAUAAAGCGGGUGAAAAGCCCGCUCGCCGGAAGACCAAGGGUUCCUGUCCAACGUUAAUCGGGGCAGGGUGAGUCGACCCCUAAGGCGAGGCCGAAAGGCGUAGUCGAUGGGAAACAGGUUAAUAUUCCUGUACUUGGUGUUACUGCGAAGGGGGGACGGAGAAGGCUAUGUUGGCCGGGCGACGGUUGUCCCGGUUUAAGCGUGUAGGCUGGUUUUCCAGGCAAAUCCGGAAAAUCAAGGCUGAGGCGUGAUGACGAGGCACUACGGUGCUGAAGCAACAAAUGCCCUGCUUCCAGGAAAAGCCUCUAAGCAUCAGGUAACAUCAAAUCGUACCCCAAACCGACACAGGUGGUCAGGUAGAGAAUACCAAGGCGCUUGAGAGAACUCGGGUGAAGGAACUAGGCAAAAUGGUGCCGUAACUUCGGGAGAAGGCACGCUGAUAUGUAGGUGAAGUCCCUUGCGGAUGGAGCUGAAAUCAGUCGAAGAUACCAGCUGGCUGCAACUGUUUAUUAAAAACACAGCACUGUGCAAACACGAAAGUGGACGUAUACGGUGUGACGCCUGCCCGGUGCCGGAAGGUUAAUUGAUGGGGUCAGCGCAAGCGAAGCUCUUGAUCGAAGCCCCGGUAAACGGCGGCCGUAACUAUAACGGUCCUAAGGUAGCGAAAUUCCUUGUCGGGUAAGUUCCGACCUGCACGAAUGGCGUAAUGAUGGCCAGGCUGUCUCCACCCGAGACUCAGUGAAAUUGAACUCGCUGUGAAGAUGCAGUGUACCCGCGGCAAGACGGAAAGACCCCGUGAACCUUUACUAUAGCUUGACACUGAACAUUGAGCCUUGAUGUGUAGGAUAGGUGGGAGGCUUGGAAGUGUGGACGCCAGUCUGCAUGGAGCCGACCUUGAAAUACCACCCUUUAAUGUUUGAUGUUCUAACGUUGACCCGUAAUCCGGGUUGCGGACAGUGUCUGGUGGGUAGUUUGACUGGGGCGGUCUCCUCCUAAAGAGUAACGGAGGAGCACGAAGGUUGGCUAAUCCUGGUCGGACAUCAGGAGGUUAGUGCAAUGGCAUAAGCCAGCUUGACUGCGAGCGUGACGGCGCGAGCAGGUGCGAAAGCAGGUCAUAGUGAUCCGGUGGUUCUGAAUGGAAGGGCCAUCGCUCAACGGAUAAAAGGUACUCCGGGGAUAACAGGCUGAUACCGCCCAAGAGUUCAUAUCGACGGCGGUGUUUGGCACCUCGAUGUCGGCUCAUCACAUCCUGGGGCUGAAGUAGGUCCCAAGGGUAUGGCUGUUCGCCAUUUAAAGUGGUACGCGAGCUGGGUUUAGAACGUCGUGAGACAGUUCGGUCCCUAUCUGCCGUGGGCGCUGGAGAACUGAGGGGGGCUGCUCCUAGUACGAGAGGACCGGAGUGGACGCAUCACUGGUGUUCGGGUUGUCAUGCCAAUGGCACUGCCCGGUAGCUAAAUGCGGAAGAGAUAAGUGCUGAAAGCAUCUAAGCACGAAACUUGCCCCGAGAUGAGUUCUCCCUGACUCCUUGA
RNAcentral lists this ribosomal RNA (2787 nucleotides) under Escherichia coli. RNAcentral's name for it is "bacterial LSU rRNA". It matches the Rfam family "Bacterial large subunit ribosomal RNA". Lineage: Bacteria; Pseudomonadati; Pseudomonadota; Gammaproteobacteria; Enterobacterales; Enterobacteriaceae. The record is from RNAcentral.